GCCAAAGAAAGCUCUCAAUUCGGGGGAAAAGGCUUCUCUAUUCUCUUGAAAAAAGGAUGACAAAAAACUCCUUCCUUAUAUCUUCAAGAAAAUGAGAAAAUGACCUCGAAGAAUAUAUGUAAAUUUACUUCCUCAUCAGUUGAUGAGAAAGAAAAUAUUGAAUCUAAAUAAGAUCAAUCAUGCCUCUUUCGUACCAUAUGUAAUCAUUAUUGUUAACUUUUCGAUCCGGAUUUAAUUAUGUUUGACUAAGAUUUACCCCUUAAUCUUUGAUUGAUUUAUCCAAAAAGGUUUUAGUAUCUUUUGAGUCAAACAUUUAGCUUAUAUACAUCGCUAAUAUAAAUAAAGUUUUACUAUUUUUACCAAGUUACUAAUCAUGUUUAUUAUAUGGAGUUUUAUUUGCAAUUAUAGUAAUGUGAUUUUCUCAUCUUAUUCUACAGUCUUUCCUGUAGCCAAUCUGACUUUUGGUGCAACUUUAACUUUUCUUUUUCCAACUUGAGCUAAUGCAUUGAUUGAAAGAAAAAGGACAGAGGAGUGAACAGUGAACUUAGUUUAUUCAUGAUUUGAAACUAUUUUGCUUUUAUUAAAAUGCUAAAUGAUGAUUUCCAUUCCAGCCUUUUACCGUAACAAUAAGUAAUUUUUCAUAACAAGUUUAAUAUGAUAUCCUGGAACAUAGAGUAAUAGUAUGUUACAAGAUAAAUAAAAGAUUAUUUACGCGGUCAUAUAUAUAAUUUAAAUCCAACUCUUAUUAAGUGUGACUCAGACUUUCACUCCAGUGCAUGCCAGCCCAGACAUUCAUUGAGUGGGAAUCAAAGUAGACUUCCUUUUCAUCAGAAGUGGCCAAAAAUAUGGUCCCAGUGUAUUCAAGAUUGCCCCAUCCUUAAGAUCCAAGGAUUCCAACUUUUGUACUACCCUUAUGUUUUGUCAACAAUUUUGUUCGUAGUCUGCAACUAACUUCUUGGGCACAAUUAGUCCGAAUAUAUUUUUAACAUGAUUGAAUUGGUCCGAAUAUAUUUUUAACAUGAUUGAAUUGGUCCGAAAAUAUUUUUAACAUGAUGUGAUAUUGUUUGUUUUACGUUAAAUUCAUACGAUUUUUUUCAAAAGCUCUUACAUUAUUAAGAGAUCUCUACACUUUAUAUGUAGGGGUAUUUUCAUAUAUACUUAUUUUUGAGGCCACCAUUAAAGUUAUAUACACAUUGCACUAAAUUUUGUAAAGUGUAUCUGUCUAAAGUAGUUCAACCUAUUCAAUGCAAUUUCAGAAAUCAAAUAUGAAGUUCUUCUAUCUUUCAAAUGUAACUUCAGAAAUUCCAAUCUUAAGUAGGUCAAUAUCUUCAAUGCAACUUUAGAUUUCAAAUUUAAAGUUCUUCUAUCUUUCAAAUACAACUUCAGAGAUUUGAAUCUUAAGUAGCUCAAUUUCUUCAAUGCAGCUUCAGAUUUCGAAACUUAAGUUCCGAAACAUAAACUUGUUCUUUGAAUUUUAACAACCCUCAUACGCCUAAAUCUACUUCAAAUGAGCUCAAAUUUGGAUAAAUUUUAAAUAUCAUAAAGAACAAAUUCAGUCAUCAAAUUAUCAAAACAACAACAAAUUUAACAAAUAAGAAAAAAAAGAAGAAGAAACCCUAAGCACAAAGAAGAAGAAAGCAGCAACGAAGAAGAAGAGAAGCGUGUAUGUAUUUGAAGUUAUCCGAAAAUCGGGUAUUAGUUACUUUUUUUUUAAAAUAGUUACAAAUUUAAUGGGUGGCGCAAAACUGGACGCCACAUAUUUUACUUGUAUGCAGUCUCAUAUUUUCUUUAGCUACCAGUGUGGGACUUUGAUCGCACACCCGGUAAUUCCCUUUUUGAACUAAGUCCAUGUGGCCAACUACCACGAUGCCUCUCCCUCGCACUAAGUUUCACGUGAUCCAUUACCAUGAUCCACGGGUCAAUUUUUGAGAUUUUAUUUGCCACCCACAUCGUUAGAAUAUUUAUGCAACCAAAGCCCCCAACCAACUUUUUUUUGUCUGUGUGUAUCUCUAAGCUCGUAAGGAGAAGUAAACUAGGCCACACAUCAUCACUCUGCGAUCUUCAUACUCAUCUCGUCGAACCUGGGCUCUGAUACCUGUUGUUGGACUAAAGGUACUUGUAAUAUGGUAUGAUAUUGUCCACUUUAGAUCAAGCCCGCACAAAUUUUCGCAAUGAUCUUCAUACCAUUAAGAGAUUCAUACACCUUAUAUGCAAAUUUCUAUUGUUUUAAGCUAUUAAUGGAGGACUUUGUUCGCCGAUCCACUAAUCGCCUCCUCGAACUAAGUUUCACGCGAUUUAGCACUACUAUCCACGAGUCUUUCCCUCGAACCAAGUUCUAUGUGGCCUAUCACCACUAUUCACGGGUCAAUUUCUGAAUCAUUGUGUGUCACUCACAUUGUUAGAGUAUUUUACGGCAAUCAAAGCCUCUAAUUAGCUUUUUCUUGUGUGCGCGUUUCCUAGCUCAUAAGGGUAAACAACCCGAGCCCAACACCAUCACCCAUCCAUCACCAUACUUGUCCCAUCGAACUUGGACUCAAAUUUUGUUGGGAUAAACCAGCCCGAAAAUACUCUUAACAUGAUUGAUACUGUCCACUUUAGGCCAAGGUUGUUCAGUUUUCUCUAAAAGGUCACACGCCCAACAGAACUAAUAAGUGUCUAAAUGAGUUAUUUUCUGACAAUUCAAAUUUGUAAUUCUCAAAAUAAUAUUUCUUUAUGUGCGGAACGUGUACAAUGGUGUAUCUAGACUGGACGCAGUGGAUCGACAAAGCUGAUCGAGUCUACAAUACAUACAUACAUAUACAUACGUGAAAAUUGAAACGUAUCUAAUAAAAUAUAAUCCACUAACUCUAAAUGCUGGAUCAACCAUUCAAUGUAUAGGAUCAUUACAUAUGGUGAAAACAUAGAAUGCCCCACGUCACGUUCUUUUGCUUCUCUAUGAACCUAUAGCUAGAAAUCUUCAUUAUUGAAAGUGAUUGAAAUAGAAUCCUUGGCCGAAUUAUUGCAGCAUUCUUUUGACAAAAAUAAAAACUGAAUAGGAAAGAUGGCAAAAAGGAAGGCUUUACUAAAGCACAACAUUUUUUAUACACAACAUAGUGGACUAAUUUAAUCUUAACUACUAGUGCUACUCCUUUGAGAGAGAGAGAGAAUGAAGUUCUUGUUCCAGGGUCCAUGUUGUUCUUGUUUCUGCUUCAUGAAGCCACAGAAAGGCAAACCAAAAGCUAAAGUGGAAGAAGCCAAACCUAAAGAUAAGAAGGUGGAAGAAGCUAAAGCUAAGGAUAAGAAGGUGGAAGAAGCCAAACCUAAAGAAAAGAAGGCGGAAGAAGCCAAACCAAAAGAGAAGGAAGAAAGCAAACCAGAAUAAUGAUAGUAGAGGCAAUGGCAAAUGCAGCUAUAUUAUUCUAGUACAAGUAUUGUUCUUCAUUUACUUUACUGCUUGUUUAUGGUGUUUUCCAAUUUCCAUCCAUAUGGUGUGCAAUCUUUAACACUUUCUUUGGAAAACGCUAGUACUAUUUCUCCUCCUAAUGUAUUUUUAUAAGAAAAUAAUUUCACUUUAUUUACUCUGAAAGGCAAAAGUAAUACUUCUGUUGCUCGAAUUCUUAAAAAAUUGUCACUUCUAAAAAAUGCAUAACUUUUGCAAGAUCCUACACAUGCGACAAAUUUUUUGAAGGAUAUACUAAGUUAGUAGCUAUUUCAGUUUUAAUUAGGAUAGAUAAUAUGAAGAUUGACUAGGGGGCAUAUUCUAUAUAUUCAUAGUGUGUUUUAUUGAAAAUUCGGACUUUUAAGUUCCUCUUCAGUCAGUAGAAUAUAUGUUUGUAGUCUUUUAAAAAGUUAAUUAGAUAAGAUCUGAGAACAUAUAAUCCUUUAUCACUUUAUGUGGAUCUUGGAGUGUAUGAUAUAUAAUCUGAAUUCCUAUUCAUUGAUAGUCUAUUUCCUUUUUU
RNAcentral lists this long non-coding RNA (3938 nucleotides) under Nicotiana tabacum (common tobacco). Its description in RNAcentral is "long non-coding RNA (NTAB_LNC004616)". Lineage: Eukaryota; Viridiplantae; Streptophyta; Magnoliopsida; Solanales; Solanaceae. The record is from RNAcentral.